This 483-nucleotide ribosomal RNA is filed under the name Escherichia coli. RNAcentral describes it as "partial 23S ribosomal RNA". It matches the Rfam family "Bacterial large subunit ribosomal RNA", at positions 1 to 523 of the family's 2925-position model. The record is from RNAcentral. Lineage: Bacteria; Pseudomonadati; Pseudomonadota; Gammaproteobacteria; Enterobacterales; Enterobacteriaceae.
GGUUAAGCGACUAAGCGUACACGGUGGAUGCCCUGGCAGUCAGAGGCGAUGAAGGACGUGCUAAUCUGCGAUAAGCGUCGGUGAGGUGAUAUGAACCGUUAUAACCGGCGAUUUCCGAAUGGGGAAACCCAGUGUGAUUCGUCACACUAUCAUUAACUGAAUCCAUAGGUUAAUGAGGCGAACCGGGGGAACUGAAACAUCUAAGUACCCCGAGGAAAAGAAAUCAACCGAGAUUCCCCCAGUAGCGGCGAGCGAACGGGGAGGAGCCCAGAGCCUGAAUCAGUGUGUGUGUUAGUGGAAGCGUCUGGAAAGGCGCGCGAUACAGGGUGACAGCCCCGUACACAAAAAUGCACAUACUGUGAGCUCGAUGAGUAGGGCGGGACACGUGGUAUCCUGUCUGAAUAUGGGGGGACCAUCCUCCAAGGCUAAAUACUCCUGACUGACCGAUAGUGAACCAGUACCGUGAGGGAAAGGCGAAAAGAA